GCAUCUAGAUAUGAAAACACAGUCCCCUUCGGGUAGUCGUGUGCUUGCGGGAGUCCGCAUCAGUAACCAGCCUCUUUGGGUUGUCCCUUCUCUGCAUGGUCAUC
This 104-nucleotide non-coding RNA is filed under the name unclassified sequences. The record is from RNAcentral.